RNAcentral lists this ribosomal RNA (494 nucleotides) under uncultured bacterium. Its description in RNAcentral is "partial 16S ribosomal RNA". It matches the Rfam family "Bacterial small subunit ribosomal RNA", at positions 28 to 507 of the family's 1533-position model. The record is from RNAcentral.
GACGAACGCUGGCGGCGUGCUUAACACAUGCAAGUCGAACGGAAAGGCCUGCUUUCCCUUGUGGAUUGCGGGUACUCGAGUGGCGAACGGGUGAGUAACACGUGAGUGAUUUGUCCCCAACUUGGGUAUAAGCCUGGGAAACUGGGUCUAAUUCCCGAUAGUACUGUAGGGUGGUGCCUGUGGUGGAAAACGAUUUUCUCGUGGUUGGGGAUGAGCGCGCGGCCUAUCAGCUUGUUGGUGGGGUAAUGGACUAACAAGGCGGCGACGGGUACUCGGCCUGAGAGUGUGGACGAUGACAUUGAGACUGAGGUACGGCCCAGACUCCUACGUGGGACAGCAGUGGCGAGAAUUGCGCAAUAAGAAGAACCCUGAAGCAUCGACGCGGAGUAUCAGAUAGCGACCGUCGGGAUGUAAACUCCGUUCGAACAAGAGAAUGCCACCUGGCUGGAGGCGUGGUGACGGUAGUAGUAGAAGAAGCACCGGCUAACUACGUG